CAGAAUUCUCAGGAGCCCGCUGCCUUUUUCCUGUGUCGCCUGAGAGGAUAUCAGAGCCUUGUUCUGAGGACCAAGCUCCAGGUGUGAUUUUCCAGAGUCUGGACUCUGAAUACUAGACUGGCCAAGUUGCUGCUGCUCAUCUCAUCACCAUUUUCCAGCACUGAAGGUAGGAAGGAAAUCCACAC
Molecule: long non-coding RNA, 185 nt
Filed under: Chinchilla lanigera (long-tailed chinchilla)
Lineage: Eukaryota; Metazoa; Chordata; Mammalia; Rodentia; Chinchillidae
Description: lncRNA (ENSCLAG00000026700.1)
Source: RNAcentral